Long non-coding RNA from Stegostoma tigrinum, 1661 nucleotides. RefSeq lists it as uncharacterized. NCBI's taxonomy places the organism in Eukaryota, Metazoa, Chordata, Chondrichthyes, Orectolobiformes, Stegostomatidae. The record is from RefSeq and is a predicted model, not a curated record. The transcript has 3 exons.
GGCCCAGGAUGGGCAUGUCGUCUGAGGAGUGGGAGGGAAUGUUGAACUCGUUCGCUACUGGGACGUGCAGUCGUUUGUCACAAACCGAGCGUGGGUGUUUCACAAAAAGCGGUCUCUGGGCCUCCGUUUGGUUUCCCUGACAUUGAGGAGCAAACAUUGGGAACAGCGGAUAAAAUCGACCACAUUUGGGGAUGUGCAGCUGCAGUCUUCCGGGUCCGUCUUGCCUCCGCUGCUGCUCGCACUCAAAAUGGCCGUUGGCGUCGAAGGGUGAGUAUUUAUACUCACUGCUUUCCUUCCCGGCUGCCCCUCUGGUCCUCGUCACUUCCUCCGCUGCUCCCGCUCCUUCUCUGAAAGAGGAAAAACACCGCUGCCCGCUACUGAUCCAAUGACUUCAUUCCACAGGGACAAAGCUUCCAAUUUGUACCAGGUUAACUCUGGCCUACUCUUUUCUUUAGAAAAGAGUUUGAUGCUAUUCAGUCUUUACUGGCAAUUACAACCUGCAUUGUGUAAGAUUUGUGAAUGACCCUUUAUUUUCCCAAUCCUUGUGAGUGAUGCCAGCAGCAGAAAUAUUUCCUAAUCUGCAAGUGAUUUUGGUUGGGAAAUCUCUAUUUACAAAUUCACUCUUAUCCUCAAAUAGACUGUGUAAACCAUAAAAGGUCUGAGCACAAACCCACAAAAACACGAAGGCAGCAUGACAGCCUGAGCUGAAUGAACCUGGUGAUGUGUGAGCUGUCAUGAGGAAAACAUGACCAUGAGCACAACUGGUUAGAAUCACAUCCCUACAGUGCAGAAAGAGGUCAUUCGGCCCAUCACUAUACUGACCCUCUACUCCCAUAACUCAGCAUUUACCAGGGUUAACCCAACCACUUAACCUGCACACUAGGGGGCAACCUAGCAUGGCUUGUCCACCUAACCUGCACAUUUUUGGACUCUGAAAGGAUCACAGCUUAGCUAUAAUGACGCAAAUUUUUGAAUGAAGAAUAAAAAAAACUCAAUGUUGAAACAAUUUCACAGUUUUUGUUUUAAAAAUAAAAUCUAGGGAAAGCUGCGCCACAAAGAUUUCAGAUUUUCUCUGGAGGAAGAGAAUUCAAAACUCGUGCCACUGACGCGGGGGCACAGUGAGGUCACAGAGGGCUGGCACCCAUCAGAAAUGUAAAAGGUAUUGAGCAAGGUAGGGGUGAGAGAGGGGCAAAAAGGCAGUCUGUCACGGGGGAAGGCAGGAGAGAUUAAAUUGCAGAAAUGUUAUUAGUUUUUCAUGGCCACAAAGAUUGGAGUUAGGCCUCAAAAAAAAACAACAAAAGAUGUGCCUGUGCUGGGUGUGUAGAAGACACAGAAACAAAUUGAAACGAGAAAUGCAAACAAAUAGGGGCAGAGUUCACAGCCUGAAAUUGCUCUUCUCAAUGGUGAAUCCAGAAAGCUGCAAACCUGUGUGUUUCAAUCUCAACCAACACAAACAUGAUGGGCCAAAUAAUACUGGCCAGCCAGCGACACCCACAUCUCACAAAUAAAUUUUUAAAAAUGGUCUUGGUCUGUGCUGGAAUGUUCUGAUACUUUUGUUUUGAAAUUUGGAGUUUGUUUCUGACGAUGUUUAUAACCUCUCAAAUUGGGCUAAAGUUUAACAUUCUAGGGAAAUGUAAAAUAAAUCAGCUUUGUUUCAAACA